CCUACGGGUGGCUGCAGUCGAGAAUCUUCGGCAAUGAGCGCAAGCUUGACCGAGCGACGCCGCGUGCGGGAUGAAGGCCUUCGGGUUGUAAACCGCUUUGGUCCGAGAGAAAGGGCAACUUGAUCGAUCGGAGAAACAAGGACGGGCUAAGUUCGUGCCAGCAGCCGCGGUAAGACGAACCGUCCAAACGUUAUUCGGAAUCACUGGGCUUAAAGGGCGCGUAGGCGGCCGAGCGGGUCGCGGGUGAAAUCCUCCAGCUUAACUGGAGAACUGCCCUCGAUACCACUGCGGCUCGAGGAAGGAAGGGGUCAUGGGAACUGUCGGUGGAGCGGUGAAAUGCGUUGAUAUCGACAGGAACGCCUGUGGCGAAAGCGCAUGACUGGUCCUUUUCUGACGCUGAGGCGCGAAAGCCAGGGGAGCAAACGGGAUUAGAUACCCCAGUAGUC
RNAcentral lists this ribosomal RNA (446 nucleotides) under uncultured Gemmataceae bacterium. RNAcentral describes it as "bacterial SSU rRNA". It matches the Rfam family "Bacterial small subunit ribosomal RNA", at positions 338 to 795 of the family's 1533-position model. Lineage: Bacteria; Pseudomonadati; Planctomycetota; Planctomycetia; Gemmatales; Gemmataceae. The record is from RNAcentral.